GAUGAAGAACGCAGCGAAAUGCGAUAAGUAAUGCGAAUUGCAGAAUUCCAGUGAGUCAUCGAAUCUUUGAACGCACCUUGCGCCCUUUGGCCAUUCCGAAGGGCAUGCCUGUUUGAGUAUCAUGAACACCUCAACUCUCAUGGCUCGCCAUGAUGAGCUUGGACUUUGGGGGUCUUGCUGGCCUGUGGUCGGCUCCUCUCAAAUGGAUCAGCUUGCCAGUGUUUGGUGGCAUCACAGGUGUGAUAACUAUCUGCGCUUGUGGUUUUCCAUCAGAUAACCUUCAGUGAUGGAGGUUCGCUGGAGCUCAUAAACGUCUCCCCUAAGCGGGGACAGCCCUUUGAAUGUUUGAUCUCAAAUCAGGUAGGACUACCCGCUGAACUUAAGCAUAUCAAUAAGCGGAGGA
Molecule: unclassified non-coding RNA, 403 nt
Filed under: soil metagenome
Description: partial contains 5.8S ribosomal RNA, internal transcribed spacer 2, and large subunit ribosomal RNA
Rfam family: 5.8S ribosomal RNA (bases 1-122)
Source: RNAcentral